GCUGGGAUUACAGACUUGAGCCACCGCGCCCAGCCAGUGCUUGGGUUUUAAGCUACCAUUUUUCCAAAACCCCCUCUUCCACUGAUUUUAGAAAGCAUAUACAUGGCUUUAACCUCAGGGAAAAUAUCAAAAUAAACCAAACCAGUUGGGGACCAUUUUCUUUCUCUCAGAGGUAUCUUGUUAUGAUGCUAUUGUCCCAGGCCUAUUUUUCACAGAAGCAAAGUAGAUGAUGGCAUGGCAGUUAAUUUUUACCUUCCAGUAUGUUUCUAUAUAUAUAUGUCUAUGUAUUGAAUUUUUUAUUUGCCUUCCAGCCCUACUAGGCCUGCCAUCUAGAGAAAGAAAGCUCCAACCACCUCAGCCUGGAGUAACUAUGGGAAAUACAACUUUGUUUCCCCUCAUGCUUUGUAAACCACCUCUUCCAGUUUGUGUUGUGUUGUGUUAGGCCAUUCCUGCAUUGCUAUAAAGCAAUACCUGAGACUGGGUAAUUUAUAAAGAAAAGAGGUUUAAUUGGCUUAUGGUUCUGCAAGCUUUACAGGAGGCAUGGUGCUUGCAUCUGCUUGGCUUCUAGAGAGGCCUCAGGAAGCUUACAAUCAUGGUGAAAGGUGCAUCUCACAGGCUGAAAGCAGGAUCAAGAAAGAUAUGGUUGUGGGGAGGUGCCACUAUUAAAUAACCAGGUCUUCUGAGAACUCAUUAUCAUGAAGACCGCACCAAGUCACCCAGGAUCCAAACACCUCCCGCCAGCACUGGGGAUUACAAUUCAACGUGAGAUUUGGGUGGGGAGAAAUAUCCAGACUAUUAAUAUAUCACCAGCAUUCCAGAUUUGUUUCCUCAAAGUCAUCUCUGACUGUCAAACAGCUUAAGUCAUUGUGUAGGUAACCUCUUUUAGAAGGGGAUAACCCUGCCUUGCAGAAUUAUUUGCUCAAGCCACCUGGCAAUAAUUCAGUGUUUCAGGAAACUCACUGGGGCUGUUUGCUGGAUCAGAAAUCAGCAUUAUGUCAAAGGGUAUUCCAAAGGCAGUGGGAGAAAUGGAUGGAGUUCUGAGAGGGUCUGCUGCAUGAGCACUCUGGGGACCCAUGUCCAGGUGGACAAUACUCUUCAUGUUGUUACACAGACAAGUAUAGAUACUUUAUUAAGAUAGGUUUCUAAGAGUAAAACCUUCAAAGGACUAUGUGGAAAGAUUUGGGCGGUUUUAUGUUAUCUUUUGAAUAGAUCCAAAAACAAUGUAGUUAGGACAAAUGGCUGUCAAUGAUUUCCAAAUUAUUUUCACUAAUGCAUUACCAUUACUACAAAAGUGUAUAUCAAGUCUCUGAAGGAAGUUAGAGUGAGGCAAAAGGAAGAAAUAUCAACCAGUGAAGCCCAGUGAAGUGGGCAAUCUCCUGCUCCUUUCUAAAUGCCAAAAACCUACACAAUUAAUAGUUUUUGUGCAGAGCAACUCCAAUAAACAUGAAAGGAAAACUUCUCUUACCCACACCAAGCACAUGUUUUCCAAGUUGUGAUGAGAACUGGUACAGCAGACUUCUCAAGAUAAGAAUGUUUUGAAGGACAAAUACAAGCUUAUACAUCAAAACUACUUAAUCUGAGAAAGAACUUGCUGGCAUCCAAACCUUAGGAACUCAGUCCUGCAUUGUCACUGCCUUUGACAAGGCUUACUGCACUACAUGCUGUAAAGGCCUAUGGGAUGUGGUUAUUAGGAUUUCAUCUGCAGGCUACCCAGGAUGUCAUAUACCAUUGAUACUCCAGUGACAAUUAACCAAUUUAUUAAUGUGAUGUUCCCCUUUACAAUUAACCAACCUAGCAGAUAGGUUGUCCAUCAGGGUUUUUUCUUUUUAUUUUCUUUUUUUUUU
RNAcentral lists this long non-coding RNA (1844 nucleotides) under Homo sapiens (human). Its description in RNAcentral is "non-protein coding lnc-FAN1-5:1". Lineage: Eukaryota; Metazoa; Chordata; Mammalia; Primates; Hominidae. The record is from RNAcentral.